RNAcentral lists this long non-coding RNA (5761 nucleotides) under Olea europaea (common olive). RNAcentral describes it as "long non-coding RNA (OEUR_LNC012584)". Lineage: Eukaryota; Viridiplantae; Streptophyta; Magnoliopsida; Lamiales; Oleaceae. The record is from RNAcentral.
CUCGCGUUGUCCCAAAUUUUUCUUCUACAGUCUUAGAAGGGAUUCAAGGGGAAAAUGUAAAGCCUAAUUUUACUUCUAUUUUGCGCAUUCAUUCUCUAUGUAAGAGUGAUUUUCCCUUUAAAUGAUGCAGAGGGAGUGAUCAGAAUUCCGGAUUCUAUGCGUGCUCAUCCUGGUCGGAAUCCUGCUUUUGAGGCCUUUGGCCAAAACUCGAAAUGAUGCUCAGAUGGUAUAGUGAGUUUGAAUGCAUUGGCAGCCGAGACAUUAGAGUGUAAAAUCAUAUAGAAAUUUUCUUUUUUCCCUGAGUUACUCCGUUUCUUCCAUCAUCCUUGCUUUUGUGCUUCUCAAUUGAUUAAUUUUUGUUAUUCUCGCCGGACUCGCACAUUAACCUUUGCACAAUGAAACCCACAUUUCAUUAUGGUCCGGAAAAAUAUAUUACAGAAUAAUGUUUGCCAUUCUUACUAACAAAAUUUAUUUUUCUGCCAAGUGGGAGUGGUUUUUGUUUGUUUGGACAGAGAAUUUUCCAUUGAUCGCCAUAGUUUAAUGGAGAAGUGCAACGCUGCAAGAAGGCUUCCUGAAACUGUACACUGUGUUUGCAUUAGCAUUCUAUGAUAGAAAAAUGUUAUCUUUUCUUGCAAUAGCAAGUCUAGAUUGAUACCUGACGACAGACGAUCUAUUCGCCUAACCAAAAAACUAUGGUAGCCACCAUCUUUAGAAGCAACAUACAUGGUAGCCACCAUCCUUAGAAGCAACAUACUGGUCAUCGCGAACCUCAAGGACGACUGAACGUUGGUGUCAUAUUGGGAACUUUGUGUCAUUGGAAGACUGGUUGGUUGAGGCAAUCGUUGGAGGCCGAAUGUACCUUGAUAAGAGUAUGUGUCUGCUACGUUAAAAAUAGGACGAGUAUUUAAAUGCAAUGGCAAGUCUUGUAGAUAAGGAUGUCAAUUGGGCCGAGCCGGCUCCGCUCGUCAAAGCUUGGCUCGUGGGCGACGAGCCCGAGCUCGAGCCGAGCGGGGGGUCUCGUCCAAAAAUGUGGAAAAAAAUAAAAUUUUAUCAAUCAAAUUUGAAAACUUUACGAAAAAAAUAAAUAAAUUCACGAGAUUACGAGCCGCUCGUGGGCUCUGAUCGGCUUGGCUCAUGAGCUCGUGAGUACACGAGCUCGUGGGCCGAAACGAGCUCACUCAGGAGCAACGAGCCGAGCCCGAUCUCGGCUUGUGAAAAACGAGCCACGAGCUCGGCUCGCCACAAGCCCGAGCCGAGCUCGUGGGUUAACGAGCUGAGCCGGCUCGACUCGACCCACUAUUAUCCCUACUUGCAGAUAAGCAUUUAUUUCUAGAAUUUUUUAAUGAUUUGAAAGGGACCACAGGGGGGUGACCGUAAGUUUUUUAAUAACAUGUUUAGGAAAAUAUUUUGAAAACCAUCACAUAAUCACCUACACUGAAAUUAUCUAUGCCUACGUUUGUAAAUUUCAUUUCUUAAAAGGAUAGUUGCAGUAGAGGUUUCAAACCUUUCAAACACUAGCAAACUUUUUUCAAACUUUUGAUUUGUUGCAAUCGUCACCCAUAAUCUUUUCAAACGUUACAGGUGUAACACCCAAUGGAUGGAAAACAUCCAUUUUACCGUUAAUUGACCAAAAAAUAGAGUUUGACCACAUUUUAAAUAUUUUUAGAAAGGACAAAAUAGUAACUUUCUAUUUAUUAAAUUAAAUAAUUAAAUUUAAAAAAUGAAAAAAGGGAGGGAAACUGUAUUUUCUUCCUCCCAUCCCUAAUUGAGCCAAAGUUUUUUGGCUGUUUUUGCUUACUGGAUUUUGCCAUGAAUCCGAAUAAAAUUGAAGAGGAUGUGUUUAGCAAAAUGGGUCCACUACCACCCCACCAUGAAUAGCUUAAUCUCAGGCUUCCACUGACGACGACGUCAUCGUCAGCAACACGAUGCUGAAUCUCCCCUAAUCUGUGAUCAGCCUCGAAACUCUAAUUCACUGGAUCUUGCUGCAAUUGAUGGUGUUAGGAGACAUUAGCGUUGCACAUUAGCCGGGUUGCUACGCCGAACGAGAUCCGAGCGGUGACUCCUGAUGACUUGCUGGCCAGCUAGAGAUUAGUGUGGAAGGACCGGAAUGAGGAUACCGCCUACUUGACUGCGUUGAAGCGUACCCAGGACUAGCUAAUUAUCAAUAUGGCUCACUCGGCCUCGACUGUCUCCAUUACUGGUAAUAGCUGUUUUCUCUGUUCCAAUCAGUCAGAGGAAUCUGCCUUGCUCAACAAUUAAAGAUAAGAAUUGCUCAUCUUUGUUGCACAAAGGGUAAAGGAAAUCCCAGUCUAGAUGGUAAGUCAAUGGAAAAAAACUGCAAGUGACUGGAAUGGAGGCGGCAAUAGAGUUUUGGUUGCGAUGGUUCUUUUGGUUUUCCCCCUUUUUCCUUUUUUUUUUCUUUUUUAAUUUAAUUAUUUAAUUUAAUUAUUUAAUUUGGUAUAUAGAAAGUUAUAAUUUUGCCCUUCAUAAAAAUAUUAAAAAUGUGGUCAAACUUAAUUUUUUGAUCAACUAACUGUAAAAUUGAUGUUUUCCAUCCUUUGAGGUUUCACCUGCAAUGUUUGAAAAGGGUUAGGGGUGACAGUUGAAACAAAUCAAAUGUUUGGGAAAAGUCUGCUAGUGUUUGAAAAGAUUUGGGGCCUCUACUGCAAUUAUCCCUUACUUAAAAGAUUUGUUUCCUCUGAUUUCAUCGUGUAAAUAUUAAGGUUGAACCCCAACUUUAAGGGCCUCCACCGCCUUGCCCUUGGAGUAUCGUGAGGGAGGUAAAUCACAGGAUGUACCCCCAGCAGACCAGGGAACGAGAGCUUGCCUGUACACUGGUACCCACAAAGAGUCCAAUUCCAUUCAUUUGCUGUGUAGGAUAGAAUGUUAACAAAAAACUGUGCAUAAUAUUGUCAUCAGAUUGACUGAAUGAGUGUCCCUCCUUCCUCAGGCUGGUGCAUUGGUGAAUGCUGGACCAUCCGUUUUUAUAUCAUCAACUGGUCCGAAUCCUAUAAUGGUUCAGGUGGUUUUUUAUUUGACAGAAUGUUUCUCCUUUUGUUUGUGCCACCUUCAGGUCAUAUGCUCAUUCUCUUCCUUACAAACCAUGCGCAGCCACUGCCGUUUCAACCAGGAGCAAAUUUUGGGGCAAAUUCAUUUGGAACUGUGCAGAAUGGCUCAGGAUUAUCGGGAGGAUCUAUUGGUUCCGGUUUUCUUCCAAGGAAUAUCGACAUCAGAGUACGAACAGGUGCUGUACCAAAUGUUAGCCAAAGGAAUUUUACUUCUUGACCUUCCACAAGGCCAGGAUUGUGGUGAAAAUAAUAAUAAACGGUGUAUGAUUUCUUAAUUAUUAUAAGAUAGAAGAACUUAUUUAUGGGGUUACAAAUAGUAAUAAUGCUAUCAAGCACUAAUGGUGUUAAGCACCAGUUUAAAUGUUAGCAUAUCAUAGGUCCUAUUAAAUGAGCCAUAAUUUUUGUACUUGUAAUUUAAUGCUACUAGUGCUAUCACCUAAACUGAUGUUAAAUAUCAGUGGUGCUAAUUAGCAUUACUCUAAAAGAAAAGAUUGUGUAAUAAUCUCAAAAUCAACUACAAAAGGAAAAUAAUCCCAAUAUUGGGAAAAUAUAAAAAAAGGAAUAAUAUCGCAAUCUUUUCAUAUCUCCAACAUCCAUACUCAAACUCAAUAUGGUGUCAUGGAAACCAAAUUGAGUUUGAAAACUACAAUGAUCCAAGCAAAUCAUCCUCUUCCAAAGGUUAAUUUCCCGCAGCUUGUUUGCGUUCGAAAGCGUGUCUUAUGCUUGCAUCACAUUUUAGAAAGUUAAGAAUUUGUUUUUUUAUCAAUCAAGCAUACUUUUGUUACCUUCCUCAUUAAUGAUCAAAUGCAAAUGUGAUGUUUGCAUAUCUAAAUACUGAACUCUGACUUCUAUCUGUUUUUCUUUUCACGCUACUUUUGCUGUCAGGUUCAUUGCUGUCCCGGAGAGAGGCAGCUGGUUUACAGCCUCAAGGACCUGGUGUUACUAUAUCUUCCACCAGUGGGAAUUCUGGUCAAGAGGCUGCCGUAGGACUAAACCCAAAUACCUCUACUCAGGAUUCUGAAGUGCGGACAAUUCCUCUCAGGACCAUGAUUGCUGCUGUUCCUGCUUCUGGUGAACAUGGUUCUGAUUCACCUCAUGGUUCAGUCGGAAUGGUAUACCCUGUUUUAGCUAGAGUUCAAAAUGUAACUUCUGGAAAUUCGAAUGGCAUAAGAGCUUCUCAGGAAUCAGAGCAACAUCGUGGUCAGGAUGCUGACACUGAACAACAGACAAUGUCCGGUUCUGCAACACAGCAGCAAAAUAUUGGAGUCCCUGGAAGAAAUGGUGAGCGUACAUAUGAUUGGACACUUUUGACCCCAUUCACGAUUACCAUCCUAUCAUUCUUAUUAACUAACCACAAUUAUUAUCUUUAGGCAGCGGUACAACUAGUGAAGCAUCCCACAGGCAAGGAUUCGCAGCGCAGAUUCAAAGUGGACUUGGAGAACUGCUGAGGACAAUAUUUCCAGGUGAGCAUAUUUUUGGUGACAGUGUUGGCCCACCUCCAGCUGGAGCAACCCAAGAUUCCAGCGCUUCUCAGGAGGCAGCAGAAACAGCUAGUCGUGAAGGGAUAUUUUUGUCUAAUAUACUACAUCAGAUAAUGCCCAUUAUUCAAGAAAAUAGAGCUGAAGCCUCUAUUGGAGGUGCAAACUCAUCUGAACCCCAGGUAAAGAUACUCAGGGAUGUAACUCCAUUUUAAAAGAUCAAUUUUGGGUUUGGCUCAGAUAUUCAAUUGCAAAUUUCUGCAAUGGAAAGUACUAUCCGUUGCAGUCCAGUUUCAUUGAUGGUUCAAAUUAAGAUGCUUGCAGUUUGGAGCUAGAGGUGAAUAAUGCUGUGGCUAAGCAAUUUUUUGCAUGUGCAGGCUGAUGAAGACCAAUAUCAAGGGGCUUCUUCUAGUCAGCAACGUGGUCCUGAAUCUCAACCAAGUCCGAAACGCCCGAGGGUAUUAUUUUCUUCAUUCUUUCAGUUCAUCCUCAUUUUCUUCUCACCUCGCGUUGUCCCAAAUUUUUCUUCUACAGUCUUAGAAGGGAUUCAAGGGGAAAAUGUAAAGCCUAAUUUUACUUCUAUUUUGCGCAUUCAUUCUCUAUGUAAGAGUGAUUUUCCCUUUAAAUGAUGCAGAGGGAGUGAUCAGAAUUCCGGAUUCUAUGCGUGCUCAUCCUGGUCGGAAUCCUGCUUUUGAGGCCUUUGGCCAAAACUCGAAAUGAUGCUCAGAUGGUAUAGUGAGUUUGAAUGCAUUGGCAGCCGAGACAUUAGAGUGUAAAAUCAUAUAGAAAUUUUCUUUUUUCCCUGAGUUACUCCGUUUCUUCCAUCAUCCUUGCUUUUGUGCUUCUCAAUUGAUUAAUUUUUGUUAUUCUCGCCGGACUCGCACAUUAACCUUUGCACAAUGAAACCCACAUUUCAUUAUGGUCCGGAAAAAUAUAUUACAGAAUAAUGUUUGCCAUUCUUACUAACAAAAUUUAUUUUUCUGCCAAGUGGGAGUGGUUUUUGUUUGUUUGGACAGAGAAUUUUCCAUUGAUCGCCAUAGUUUAAUGGAGAAGUGCAACGCUGCAAGAAGGCUUCCUGAAACUGUACACUGUGUUUGCAUUAGCAUUCUAUGAUAGAAAAAUGUUAUCUUUUCUUGCAAUAGCAAGUCUAGAUUGAUACCUGACGACAGACGAUCUAUUCGCCUAACCAAAAAACUAUGGUAGCCACCAUCUUUA